RNAcentral lists this ribosomal RNA (505 nucleotides) under uncultured bacterium. RNAcentral describes it as "partial 16S ribosomal RNA". It matches the Rfam family "Bacterial small subunit ribosomal RNA", at positions 28 to 507 of the family's 1533-position model. The record is from RNAcentral.
GACGAACGCUGGCGGCGUGCCUAAUACAUGCAAGUAGAACGCACAGUUUAUACCGUAGCUUGCUCCACCAUAAACUGUGAGUUGCGAACGGGUGAGUAACGCGUAGGUAACCUGCCUGGUAGCGGGGGAUAACUAUUGGAAACGAUAGCUAAUACCGCAUAAUAUUGAUUAUUGCAUGAUAAUUGAUUGAAAGAUGCUAUUGCAUCACUACCAGAUGGACCUGCGUUGUAUUAGCUAGUAGGUGAGGUAACGGCUCACCUAGGCGACGAUACAUAGCCGACCUGAGAGGGUGAUCGGCCACACUGGGACUGAGACACGGCCCAGACUCCUACGGGAGGCAGCAGUAGGGAAUCUUCGGCAAUGGACGAAAGUCUGACCGAGCAACGCCGCGUGAGUGAAGAAGGUUUUCGGAUCGUAAAGCUCUGUUGUAAGAGAAGAACGGGUGUGAGAGUGGAAAGUUCACACUGUGACGGUAGCUUACCAGAAAGGGACGGCUAACUACGUG